GGAGAUAGGUUUUCCUCAAAGAAAGUGAGCGAUGCAAAGCGAGCAAUAACAAGGACAAAGGCAAACCUAAUGCCAGGUUCCGGAGGGAAGGCAAGGGUGAGAAGAUGGUGGUACAAGGCCUCCGAAAGAACAGAGGGCAGUCAGGGAAGAAAAAGAGGAAAGGAGUGGAGGGACAGUCCAAGGAAAACGAGUCUGACCGCUUACUUCCUUCUGGGCGUGGCCUAGGCUGGCAAAGCUUGCGUAGACAGUCCGAAAAUCCCUGACGCCUUGUCGGGUGGCCUUCCCUGUUGCCGAUGGCUGUUUGCCCUCCAUCCGAUCCUCGCUCUCUCCCAGCGCCUCCCGGGAGCCGGACGAGCGGCAGCCUGGGGGCCGGUGCCCCGCCGGGCGUGUCAGUGUAGGGGCCGCCGGCGUCUGUGUAAUGCUUCACGUACAUGAUUUGAUGUCAGCCUCACAGCAGUCCUGUGAGGUAGGUACCUCAGUUUUAUUUCACAGAUGAGGAAAGUGAGGCUGAGAGAGGCGAAGUAGCCCCUCCGUGGUCACACACCUCGUGUGAGGUAAUCAGUCCUCGAGCUCGUGGUAAAUACCUGUCUUCCAGACACCUUGCUGGGUGCUGGGCAUAGGAGGACAUGAGAGAAGCAGCCGCUGUCCUGGAAGCUCCGCAGAGGGACAAGUGCGUGAUAGGUGUGUACAGAAGGGAUGGAGGAUAACUUCGUUGGGGAAAGGACCGGUGUGAAAAUCAGGAAAGACGUGUACACCUUGAACUGAGUCUUGAAGGAAAUCAGGUAUUUUGACAGGUGAAGAGGAGUAAUGCAUUGGAGGCUUAGAAGAUAGGGCAAAGGAAGGGAGAAGUUGUUGUGGGGUUGUGUAUGAGGAGCCAUCAGGCCAGCUGGAGUGCCUGAAGCUGGGUGAUAGGAUUGUGAAACUGAAAAAGUUGAUUGGAGAUAAGCUGUGAAAGGUGUUGUCAAGAUAUCAGGAGACACUCUGCUUUCCAGGGCUAAGGCCCAGAAAGUGUGCUGUGCCCUGUGCUUGGCAUAACAACAAUCCUUUGCAAAUGCUGUGGUGGGAUUUAUUAUUUUAUAUGAUAUGUGUAAUGAUUUAGAUUUGUUGGAGCUUCUCUAUUUUCCAGGAGAUCCUGGCCUGAGAGCUGGGGCUACAGCCAAUGUGCUACAGCAAAAAGUGAGCAUCACAUCUGCUAACGCUAUGAACAGUCUCUGUGCUUGUAACUGCUAAGUGAACUGAACCAGGUGCUGCACUCCUUCCUGC
Molecule: long non-coding RNA, 1263 nt
Filed under: Phascolarctos cinereus (koala)
Lineage: Eukaryota; Metazoa; Chordata; Mammalia; Diprotodontia; Phascolarctidae
Description: lncRNA (ENSPCIG00000032465.1)
Source: RNAcentral